GCAAGUCGAACGCGAAAGUCACUUCGGUGGCGAUUAGAGUGGCCGACGGGUGAGUAACGCGUAGGGAUCUACCUCUAGGUGGGGGACAACACGGGGAAACUCGUGCUAAUACCGCGUAUGUUCUGCGGAACAAAGGAUGCCUCUCCUUGGAAGCAUUCGCCUAGAGAUGAACCUGCGUAUGAUUAGCUAGUUGGUGGGGUAAAGGCCUACCAAGGCGACGAUCAUUAGCUGGUCUGAGAGGAUGAUC
RNAcentral lists this ribosomal RNA (247 nucleotides) under uncultured bacterium. RNAcentral's name for it is "partial 16S ribosomal RNA". It matches the Rfam family "Bacterial small subunit ribosomal RNA", at positions 57 to 305 of the family's 1533-position model. The record is from RNAcentral.